AGGGAAUCUUCCGCAAUGGGCGAAAGCCUGACGGAGCAACGCCGCGUGAGUGAUGAAGGUCUUCGGAUCGUAAAACUCUGUUAUUAGGGAAGAACAAAUGUGUAAGUAACUAUGCACGUCUUGACGGUACCUAAUCAGAAAGCCACGGCUAACUACGUGCCAGCAGCCGCGGUAAUACGUAGGUGGCAAGCGUUAUCCGGAAUUAUUGGGCGUAAAGCGCGCGUAGGCGGUUUUUUAAGUCUGAUGUGAAAGCCCACGGUUCAACCGUGGAGGGUCAUUGGAAACUGGAAAACUUGAGUGCAGAAGAGGAAAGUGGAAUUCCAUGUGUAGCGGUGAAAUGCGCAGAGAUAUGGAGGAACACCAGUGGCGAAGGCGACUUUCUGGUCUGUAACUGACGCUGAUGUGCGAAAGCGUGGGGAUCAAACAGGAUUAGAUACCCUGGUAGUCCACGCCGUAAACGAUGAGUGCUAAGUGUUAGGGGGUUUCCGCCCCUUAGUGCUGCAGCUAACGCAUUAAGCACUCCGCCUGGGGAGUACGACCGCAAGGUUG
RNAcentral lists this ribosomal RNA (549 nucleotides) under uncultured bacterium. Its description in RNAcentral is "bacterial SSU rRNA". It matches the Rfam family "Bacterial small subunit ribosomal RNA", at positions 356 to 896 of the family's 1533-position model. The record is from RNAcentral.